GAAAUGCGAUAAGUAAUGUGAAUUGCAGAAUUCAGUGAAUCAUCGAAUCUUUGAACGCACCUUGCGCUCCUUGGUAUUCCUUGGAGCAUGCCUGUUUGAGUAUCAUGAAAUCUUCGAAGUAAAUCUAUUGUUAACUCAAUUGGUUUCUACUUUGGUAUUGGAGGUCUUUGCAGCUUCACACCUGCUCCUCUUUGUUCAUUAGCUGGAUCUCAGUGUUAUGCUUGGUUCCACUCGGCGUGAUAAGUUAUCUAUCGCUGAGGACACUGUAAAAGGUGGCCAAGGUAAAUGCAGAUGAACCGCUUCUAAUAGUCCAUUGACUUGGACAAUACUUUUAUGAUCUGAUCUAAAAUCAGGUAGGACUACCCGCUGAACUUAAGC
Molecule: unclassified non-coding RNA, 378 nt
Filed under: plant metagenome
Description: partial contains 5.8S ribosomal RNA, internal transcribed spacer 2, and large subunit ribosomal RNA
Rfam family: 5.8S ribosomal RNA (bases 1-105)
Source: RNAcentral